RNAcentral lists this ribosomal RNA (275 nucleotides) under uncultured bacterium. RNAcentral's name for it is "partial 16S ribosomal RNA". It matches the Rfam family "Bacterial small subunit ribosomal RNA", at positions 399 to 691 of the family's 1533-position model. The record is from RNAcentral.
GCGUGUGUGAAGAAGGCCUUAGGGUUGUAAAACACUUUCGCCCGCGAAGAUGAUGACGGUAGCGGGAGAAGAAGCCCCGGCUAACUCCGUGCCAGCAGCCGCGGUAAUACGGAGGGGGCUAGCGUUGUUCGGAAUUACUGGGCGUAAAGCGCACGUAGGCGGCGUGUCGAGUUAGAUGUGAAAGGCCUGGGCUCAACCUGGGAACUGCAUUUAAUACUGACAUGCUAGAGUCCGGAAGGGGGUGACGGAAUUCCCAGUGUAGAGGUGAAAUUCGU